UACGUAGGGGGCUAGCGUUGUCCGGAUUUAUUGGGCGUAAAGAGCGUGUAGGCGGCCUGGUAGGUCUGCUGUGAAAACUCGAGGCUCAACCUCGAGAUGUCGGCGGAAACCAUCUGGCUAGAGUCCGGAAGAGGAGAGUGGGAAUUCCUGGUGUAGCGGUGAAAUGCGCAGAUAUCAGGAAGAACACCUAUGGCGAAAGCAGCUCGCUGGGACGGUACUGACGCUGAGGAGCGAAAGCAUGGGUAGCGAACAGG
This 254-nucleotide ribosomal RNA is filed under the name uncultured bacterium. Its description in RNAcentral is "partial 16S ribosomal RNA". It matches the Rfam family "Bacterial small subunit ribosomal RNA", at positions 524 to 776 of the family's 1533-position model. The record is from RNAcentral.